GACUAACGCUGGCGGCGUGCCUAACACUUGCAAGUCGAACGGGGCCCUGGUUCGCCAGGGUCUAGUGGCAGACGGGUGAGUAACACGUAGGUAAUGUACCCUCUUGCUGGGGAUACCUGUCCGAAAGGAUGGUUAAUACCGAAUGAGCCACGACCGGGGCAUCCUGGUGGUGGCAAACUGGCAACGGGCGAGAGGAUCAGCCUGCGGACCAUCAGCUGGUUGGUGGGGUAACGGCCUACCAAGGCGACGACGGUUAGCCGGUUUGAGAGGACGAUCGGCCACACUGGGACUGAAACACGGCCCAGACUCCUACGGGAGGCAGCAGUGAGGAAUAUUGCGCAAUGGGCGAAAGCCUGACGCAGCGACGCCGCGUGAGGGAUGAAGGCCUUCGGGUCGUAAACCUCUGUCAGUGGGGAAGAGAACGGACGGUACCCACUGAGGAAGCAUCGGCUUACUACGUGCCAGCAGCCGCUGUAA
Molecule: ribosomal RNA, 477 nt
Filed under: uncultured bacterium
Lineage: Bacteria
Description: partial 16S ribosomal RNA
Rfam family: Bacterial small subunit ribosomal RNA
Source: RNAcentral